This is a non-coding RNA of Potamilus streckersoni, 77 nucleotides long. The record is from the annotation of a GenBank genome assembly. NCBI's taxonomy places the organism in Eukaryota, Metazoa, Mollusca, Bivalvia, Unionida, Unionidae.
GACCGCUCUGGUGGCCUACUGUCUAGAGCGUCCGCCUCGGCUGCGGGAUGUCCUGGGUUCUAACCCCGGCCGAGUCA